CCUACGGGUGGCAGCAGUGAGGAAUAUUGGUCAAUGGACGAGAGUCUGAACCAGCCAAGUAGCGUGAAGGAUGACUGCCCUAUGGGUUGUAAACUUCUUUUAUAUGGGAAUAAAACGUUCCACGUGUGUGAUUUUGUAUGUACCAUAUGAAUAAGGCUCGGCUAACUCCGUGCCAGCAGCCGCGGUAAUACGGAGGAUCCGAGCGUUAUCCGGAUUUAUUGGGUUUAAAGGGAGCGUAGGUGGAUUGUUAAGUCAGUUGUGAAAGUUUGCGGCUCAACCGUAAAAUUGCAGUUGAAACUGGCAGUCUUGAGUACAGUAGAGGUGGGCGGAAUUCGUGGUGUAGCGGUGAAAUGCUUAGAUAUCACGAAGAACUCCGAUUGCGAAGGCAGUUCACUGGACUGCAACUGACACUGAGGCUCGAAAGUGUGGGUAUCAAACAGGAUUAGAUACCCCAGUAGUC
Molecule: ribosomal RNA, 460 nt
Filed under: uncultured bacterium
Lineage: Bacteria
Description: partial 16S ribosomal RNA
Rfam family: Bacterial small subunit ribosomal RNA
Source: RNAcentral